This 1137-nucleotide ribosomal RNA is filed under the name Selaginella bisulcata. RNAcentral describes it as "partial large subunit ribosomal RNA". It matches the Rfam family "Eukaryotic large subunit ribosomal RNA", at positions 47 to 1172 of the family's 3401-position model. The record is from RNAcentral. Lineage: Eukaryota; Viridiplantae; Streptophyta; Lycopodiopsida; Selaginellales; Selaginellaceae.
UAAGCGGAGGAAAAGAAACUAACAAGGAUUUCCCUAGUAACGGCGAGCGAACGGGAAAGAGCCCAGCCUGAAAAUCGUGGGGGCUUCGGCUCCCUCGAAUUGUAGUCUGGAGAAGGGUCCUCUGUAGCGGACCGGGCCAAGGUUCCCUGGAAAGGGAUGCCAGAGAGGGUGAGAGCCCCGUCUGGCCCGGACCCUGCUGCUUCACGAGGCUCUGUCUACGAGUCGGGUUGCUUGGGAAUGCAGCCUUAAGUCGGUGGUAAGCUCCAUCGAAGGCUAAAUACUGACGAGAGACCGAUAGCGCACAAGUACCGCGAGGGAAAGAUGAAAAGGACUUUGAAAAGAGAGUCAAACAGUGCUUGAAAUUGUUGGGAGGAAAGCGAAUGGAUGCCUUAGGUGCCUGCUGGCUGUGAGUGGAACGGUCUCGGACGCGCGGCCGGUCUGCCGAUCAGUUCAGCGGGCUCGCCAGUGUGGGAGUGGGCGGCGACAUCAAGGGUGGGUGGGCCUCGGUCCCCCACUUACGUUGUCGCCUUCUCCUGGUUUCAGGGAUGCGCCGGUUCUCCGGCAGGGCCUCGGCCCUGGCAUUCCUGUGACGCUGGUGCUCUGGGCGUUCCAUCCGACCCGUCUUGAAACACGGACCAAGGAGUCUAACAUGUACGCGAGCCUGCGGGUGAAAAACCUAGUUAGGCGCAAGGAAACUGAUCCUCUGGGAUCCCCUUGGGGAGCACCAGGCACCGACCCUGAUCUUCUGUGAAAGGUUCGAGUGACAGUGUACCUGUUAGGACCCGAAAGAUGGUGAACUAUGCCUGAGCAGGGCGAAGCCAGAGGAAACUCUGGUGGAGGCUCGUAGCGAUACUGACGUGCAAAUCGUUCGUCGGACUUGGGUAUAGGGGCGAAAGACUAAUCGAACCAUCUAGUAGCUGGUUCCGGGCGAAGUAUCCCUCAGGAUAGCUGGAGCUCUUUCGAGUUUUGUCGGGUAAAGCUAAUGAUUAGAGGCAUCGGGGGUGAAACACCCUCGACCUAUUCUCAAACUUUAAAUAGGCAAGGUGCCGGGGCUGCUCCGGUGAGCCCCGGCCUUGAAUCAGAGCUCCAAGUGGGCCAUUUUUGGUAAGCAGAACUGGCGAUGCGGGAUGAACCGAA